RNAcentral lists this non-coding RNA (44 nucleotides) under Schistosoma mattheei. The record is from RNAcentral. Lineage: Eukaryota; Metazoa; Platyhelminthes; Trematoda; Strigeidida; Schistosomatidae.
AGCAGCUGACGAGUACCAAAUAAAACGAAACGAGCGUCCUGGGU